Molecule: unclassified non-coding RNA, 256 nt
Filed under: soil metagenome
Description: partial contains small subunit ribosomal RNA, internal transcribed spacer 1, and 5.8S ribosomal RNA
Source: RNAcentral
UUUCCGUAGGUGAACCUGCGGAAGGAUCAUUACCGAAUCGUCAAACACGGGUUGUUGCUGGUCCCCAAGCGGGGGGGCAUGUGCACGCUCUGUUUACGCAUCCACUCACACCUGUGCACCCUCGGUAGUUCUAUGGUUCGGGAGACCCUGUCUUCCUUCCGUGGCUCUAUGUCUUUACACACGCAACGUCUCGUGGAAUGUUUUUCGCGUUUAACGCAAUACAAUACAACUUUCAGCAACGGAUCUCUUGGCUCUC